This 496-nucleotide ribosomal RNA is filed under the name uncultured bacterium. RNAcentral's name for it is "bacterial SSU rRNA". It matches the Rfam family "Bacterial small subunit ribosomal RNA", at positions 903 to 1397 of the family's 1533-position model. The record is from RNAcentral.
AAAUGAAUAGACGGGGACCCGCACAAGUAGCGGAGCAUGUGGUUUAAUUCGAAGCAACGCGAAGAACCUUACCUAAGCUUGACAUCGUACUGACCGGGACUUAAUCGUCUCUUUCCCUUCGGGGACAGUAUAGACAGGUGGUGCAUGGUUGUCGUCAGCUCGUGUCGUGAGAUGUUGGGUUAAGUCCCGCAACGAGCGCAACCCUUGUCUUUAGUUGCCAGCAUUUUGGAUGGGCACUCUAGAGAGACUGCCAGGGAUAACCUGGAGGAAGGUGGGGAUGACGUCAAAUCAUCAUGCCCCUUAUGCUUAGGGCUACACACGUGCUACAAUGGGUGGUACAGAGGGAAGCGAGCCCGUAAGGUGGAGCAAAUCCCUUAAAGCCAUUCUCAGUUCGGAUUGUGGGCUGAAACUCGCCCACAUGAAGCUGGAGUUACUAGUAAUCGCAGAUCAGAAUGCUGCGGUGAAUGCGUUCCCGGGUCUUGUACACACCGCCCGU